RNAcentral lists this long non-coding RNA (643 nucleotides) under Sarcophilus harrisii (Tasmanian devil). RNAcentral's name for it is "lncRNA (ENSSHAG00000022598.1)". The record is from RNAcentral. Lineage: Eukaryota; Metazoa; Chordata; Mammalia; Dasyuromorphia; Dasyuridae.
GUCUCAUUCAGACCAACCACAAUUGUUUUCUGAUCUCUAUCUUGCUCAGUUUCUCCAGCAUUACAUUAUUAUCAAAACAUUUUGGUGUUGAUUAAGCAGUAGAGAGGUUAAUCAGUGAAACAGCUUAGGCAUACAAUAUACAGAAGCAAAUUAAGCAUAAUAUCCUGGGGUGAUAAGUCCCAAGAUUUCCAUCACUGAGAGUCAUUGAAGCUCAAAGCAAGACAAAAACCAAGAUGACUGACAAUGAACUGAGUUGCAGUGGGUGACUUUGGUGUCUUUGAUGUCUGAGAGCUCCACAGCUCUUGCUUCAGUCAGUCACCUUCAUAACCCCGGCCAUUGGAACAGAUUGUUCUCAUCCCUCUGUUACACCAGUUUCUCCAGCAUUACAGAAGGAGCUAUUCCCCUAACACACUGGCUACCCUCAACCUGGUUUAACCAGUCUACCUGCCAAGAUGGUCUUAAAGUGCGGUCACUCUGCUACAGCUUCUUGGGGCCACAGAUUUCUGCACGGGAUUGUAAAUUCCCGAGACCCAGAAAAGGCCAAGAGAAGGGGGACAUUAUUGCGAUUCGGGACUAUAAAUUCUUGAACUUUCUACAACUCAGGCCGGUCUUUCUGGGACUUGUUCUGUAUCUCAGAGAGUCG